AGACCCGAAACCCGGUGAUCUAGCCAUGGGCAGGUUGAAGGUUGGGUAACACUAACUGGAGGACCGAACCGACUAAUGUUGAAAAAUUAGCGGAUGACCUGUGGCUGGGGGUGAAAGGCCAAUCAAACCGGGAGAUAGCUGGUUCUCCCCGAAAGCUAUUUAGGUAGCGCCUCGUGAAUUCAUCUCCGGGGGUAGAGCACUGUUUCGGCUAGGGGGCCAUCCCGGCUUACCAACCCGAUGCAAACUGCGAAUACCGGAGAAUGUUAUCACGGGAGACACACGGCGGGUGCUAACGUCCGUCGUGAAGAGGGAAACAACCCAGACCGCCAGCUAAGGUCCCAAAGUCAUGGUUAAGUGGGAAACGAUGUGGGAAGGCCCAGACAGCCAGGAUGUUGGCUUAGAAGCAGCCAUCAUUUAAAGAAAGCGUAAUAGCUCACUGGUCGAGUCGGCCUGCGCGGAAGAUGUAACGGGGCUAAACCAUGCACCGAAGCUGCGGCAGCGAACGUAUCACUUAAAGCGAUUCAGCGGGUUACGAUUGACGGAGCGAAGCGACGUCAAAGCGUAUACAAAGUCGAGUCGGUUUAAGGAUACGUUCGUUGGGUAGGGGAGCGUUCUGUAAGCCUGUGAAGGUGGCCUGUGAGGGUUGCUGGAGGUAUCAGAAGUGCGAAUGCUGACAUAAGUAACGAUAAAGCGGGUGAAAAGCCCGCUCGCCGGAAGACCAAGGGUUCCUGUCCAACGUUAAUCGGGGCAGGGUGAGUCGACCCCUAAGGCGAGGCCGAAAGGCGUAGUCGAUGGGAAACGGGUUAAUAUUCCCGUACUUGGUGUUACUGCGAAGGGGGGACGGAGAAGGCUAUGUUGGCCGGGCGACGGUUGUCCCGGUUUAAGCGUGUAGGUGUGUGUUCCAGGUAAAUCCGGUUCACUUUAACACUGAGGCGUGAUGACGAGGCACUACGGUGCUGAAGCAACAAAUGCCCUGCUUCCAGGAAAAGCCUCUAAGCAUCAGGUAACAUCAAAUCGUACCCCAAACCGACACAGGUGGUCAGGUAGAGAAUACCAAGGCGCUUGAGAGAACUCGGGUGAAGGAACUAGGCAAAAUGGUGCCGUAACUUCGGGAGAAGGCACGCUGACACGUAGGUGAAGUGAUUUACUCACGGAGCUGAAGUCAGUCGAAGAUACCAGCUGGCUGCAACUGUUUAUUAAAAACACAGCACUGUGCAAACACGAAAGUGGACGUAUACGGUGUGACGCCUGCCCGGUGCCGGAAGGUUAAUUGAUGGGGUCAGCGCAAGCGAAGCUCCUGAUCGAAGCCCCGGUAAACGGCGGCCGUAACUAUAACGGUCCUAAGGUAGCGAAAUUCCUUGUCGGGUAAGUUCCGACCUGCACGAAUGGCGUAAUGAUGGCCAGGCUGUCUCCACCCGAGACUCAGUGAAAUUGAACUCGCUGUGAAGAUGCAGUGUACCCGCGGCAAGACGGAAAGACCCCGUGAACCUUUACUAUAGCUUGACACUGAACAUUGAGCCUUGAUGUGUAGGAUAGGUGGGAGGCUUUGAAGCGUGGACGCCAGUCUGC
RNAcentral lists this ribosomal RNA (1569 nucleotides) under Salmonella enterica subsp. enterica serovar Anatum. RNAcentral's name for it is "partial 23S ribosomal RNA". It matches the Rfam family "Bacterial large subunit ribosomal RNA", at positions 711 to 2179 of the family's 2925-position model. Lineage: Bacteria; Pseudomonadati; Pseudomonadota; Gammaproteobacteria; Enterobacterales; Enterobacteriaceae. The record is from RNAcentral.